This 406-nucleotide ribosomal RNA is filed under the name uncultured bacterium. RNAcentral's name for it is "bacterial SSU rRNA". It matches the Rfam family "Bacterial small subunit ribosomal RNA", at positions 354 to 777 of the family's 1533-position model. The record is from RNAcentral.
GUGGGGAAUAUUGCACAAUGGGGGAAACCCUGAUGCAGCGACGCCGCGUGAGCGAUGAAGUAUUUCGGUAUGUAAAGCUCUAUCAGCAGGGAAGAAAAUGACGGUACCUGACUAAGAAGCCCCGGCUAACUACGUGCCAGCAGCCGCGGUAAUACGUAGGGGGCAAGCGUUAUCCGGAUUUACUGGGUGUAAAGGGAGCGUAGACGGCAUGGCAAGCCAGAUGUGAAAUACCGGGGCUCAACCCCGGGACUGCAUUUGGAACUGUUAAGCUGGAGUGUCGGAGAGGCAGGCGGAAUUCCUAGUGUAGCGGUGAAAUGCGUAGAUAUUAGGAGGAACACCAGUGGCGAAGGCGGCCUGCUGGACGAUGACUGACGUUGAGGCUCGAAAGCGUGGGGAGCAAACAGGA